This 541-nucleotide ribosomal RNA is filed under the name uncultured bacterium. RNAcentral describes it as "bacterial SSU rRNA". It matches the Rfam family "Bacterial small subunit ribosomal RNA", at positions 969 to 1509 of the family's 1533-position model. The record is from RNAcentral.
CCUUACCAGGUCUUGACAUCCCUUGACAACUCCAGAGAUGGAGCGUUCCCUUCGGGGACAAGGUGACAGGUGGUGCAUGGUUGUCGUCAGCUCGUGUCGUGAGAUGUUGGGUUAAGUCCCGNAACGAGCGCAACCCUUUAUUACUAGUUGCCAGCAUUUAGUUGGGCACUCUAGUGAGACUGCCGGUGACAAACCGGAGGAAGGUGGGGAUGACGUCAAAUCAUCAUGCCCCUUAUGACCUGGGCUACACACGUGCUACAAUGGCGUAUACAACGAGUUGCCAACCCGCGAGGGUGAGCUAAUCUCUUAAAGUACGUCUCAGUUCGGAUUGUAGGCUGCAACUCGCCUACAUGAAGUCGGAAUCGCUAGUAAUCGCGGAUCAGCACGCCGCGGUGAAUACGUUCCCGGGUCUUGUACACACCGCCCGUCACACCAUGAGAGUUUGUAACACCCAAAGCCGGUGGGGUAACCUUUUAGGAGCCAGCCGUCUAAGGUGGGACAGAUGAUUAGGGUGAAGUCGUAACAAGGUAAGCGUAGCGAG